UACGUAGGCAGCAAGCGUUGUUCGGAGUUACUGGGCGUAAAGGGUGUGUAGGCGGUUCCUUAAGUUUGCUGUGAAAUCUCCCGGCUUAACCGGGAGGGUGCGGUGAAUACUGUGGGACUAGAGUACGGGAGAGGAAAGUGGAAUUCCUGGUGUAGCGGUGAAAUGCGUAGAUAUCAGGAGGAACACCGGUGGUGUAGACGGCUUUCUGGACCGUAACUGACGCUGAGACACGAAAGCGUGGGUAGCAAACAGG
RNAcentral lists this ribosomal RNA (253 nucleotides) under uncultured bacterium. RNAcentral describes it as "partial 16S ribosomal RNA". It matches the Rfam family "Bacterial small subunit ribosomal RNA", at positions 524 to 776 of the family's 1533-position model. The record is from RNAcentral.